Molecule: ribosomal RNA, 279 nt
Filed under: uncultured bacterium
Lineage: Bacteria
Description: partial 16S ribosomal RNA
Rfam family: Bacterial small subunit ribosomal RNA
Source: RNAcentral
UGCCAGCCGCCGCGGUAAUACAGAGGGUGCGAGCGUUAAUCGGAAUUACUGGGCGUAAAGGGCGCGUAGGCGGCUUAGUAAGUCGGAUGUGAAAUCCCUGGGCUUAACCUGGGAACUGCAUUCGAUACUGCUUAGCUUGAGUAUGGUAGAGGGAAGCGGAAUUCCGGGUGUAGCGGUGAAAUGCGUAGAUAUCUGGAGGAACAUCAGUGGCGAAGGCGGCUCCCUGGCCAAAGACUGACGCUCAUGUGCGAAAGUGUGGGUAGCGAACGGGAUUAGAUA